This 486-nucleotide ribosomal RNA is filed under the name uncultured bacterium. Its description in RNAcentral is "partial 16S ribosomal RNA". It matches the Rfam family "Bacterial small subunit ribosomal RNA", at positions 30 to 507 of the family's 1533-position model. The record is from RNAcentral.
AUUGAACGCUGGCGGCAUGCCUUACACAUGCAAGUCGAACGGCGGCACGGGUGCUUGCCCCUGGUGGCGAGUGGCGAACGGGUGAGUAAUACAUCGGAACAUGUCCUGUAGUGGGGGAUAGCCCGGCGAAAGCCGGAUUAAUACUGCAUACGAUUUACGGAUGAAAGCGGGGGACCUUCGGGCCUCGCGCUAUAGGGUUGGCCGAUGGCUGAUUAGCUAGUUGGUGGGGUAAAGGCCUACCAAGGCGACGAUCAGUAGCUGGUCUGAGAGGACGACCAGCCACACUGGAACUGAGACACGGCCCAGACUCCUACGGGAGGCAGCAGUGGGGAAUUUUGGACAAUGGGCGAAAGCCUGAUCCAGCAAUGCCGCGUGUGUGAAGAAGGCCUUCGGGUUGUAAAGCACUUUUGUCCGGAAAGAAAACCUUGGCCCUAAUACGGUCGGGGGAUGACGGUACCGGAAGAAUAAGCACCGGCUAACUACGUG